GUCGUAACAAGGUUUCCGUAGGUGAACCUGCGGAAGGAUCAUUAUCGAGAACAUGCCUUUCGGGGUAGAUCUCCCACCCUGUGCUUACUAUUGCCCUGUUGCUUUGGCAAGCCCGUCCCUAGACCGCUGGCCUUGCUGCUAGCCAGUGCUUGCCAGAGGACCCUAAACCCUCCAAGUAUAUUACUGUCUGAGCACUACAUAAUAGUUUAAAACUUUCAACAACGGAUCUCUUGGUUCUGGCAUCGAUGAAGAACGCAGCGAAAUGCGAUAAGUAAUGUGAAUUGCAGAAUUCAGUGAAUCAUCGAAUCUUUGAACGCACAUUGCGCCCUAUAGUAUUCUGUAGGGCAUGCCUGUUCGAGCGUCAUUUCAACCCUCAAGCACUGCUUGGUAUUGGGUGCCACCGCUGGAGGUGCACCCCAAAAUUAGUGGCGGGGCUGCUUGGCUUCCAGCGUAGUAAACUUCUCGCUGUGGAAACGAGUAGGCCCUAUGCUAGACCCUAAAAUUUUCACAGGUUGACCUCGGAUCAGGUAGGGAUACCCGCUGAACUUAAGCAUAUCAAUAAGCGGAGGAAAAGAAACCAACCGGGAUUGCCCUAGUAACGGCGAGUGAAGCGGCAAGAGCUCAAAUUUGAAAUCUGGCCCUCGGGUCCGAGUUGUAAUUUGUAGAGGAUGCUUCGAACGUGGCCCCGUCUAAGUCCCUUGGAACAGGGCGUCAUAGAGGGUGAGAAUCCUGUAUGCGACUGGGUACCUAAGUUCAUGUGAAGCUCCUUCGACGAGUCGAGUUGUUUGGGAAUGCAGCUCAAAAUGGGUGGUAAAUUUCAUCUAAAGCUAAAUACUGGCCAGAGACCGAUAGCGCACAAGUAGAGUGAUCGAAAGAUGAAAAGCACUUUGGAAAGAGAGUUAAACAGUACGUGAAAUUGUUGAAAGGGAAGCGCUUGUAACCAGACUUGCAUGUAGUUGAUCAUCCGAUGUUCUCACCGGUGCACUCUGCUAUGUUCAGGCCAGCAUCGGUUCUGGUGGUUGGAUAAAGGCCCUAGGAAUGUAGCUUCUCUCGGGGAGUGUUAUAGCCUGGGGUGCAAUGCAGCCCACUGGGACCGAGGACCGCGCUCCGGCUAGGAUGCUGGCGUAAUGGUUAUAAGCGAC
Molecule: ribosomal RNA, 1142 nt
Filed under: uncultured fungus
Lineage: Eukaryota; Fungi
Description: eukaryotic LSU rRNA
Rfam family: Eukaryotic large subunit ribosomal RNA (bases 514-1142)
Source: RNAcentral